This 229-nucleotide long non-coding RNA is filed under the name Lathyrus oleraceus (garden pea). Its description in RNAcentral is "Pisum sativum (pea) long non-coding RNA (PSAT_LNC034949)". Lineage: Eukaryota; Viridiplantae; Streptophyta; Magnoliopsida; Fabales; Fabaceae. The record is from RNAcentral.
AGGAAUAUACAAAGAGUUUUCUUCAUCUUCAACCUAUGUUUUAUGUAUACACACAAACAAAUUACACAUAAUCAUUUUUUGUUUGGGUGCCAUCUAGAAUCAGAGUUGAUAACGUCCAAUUUAGGUUGUUGAAUUGUGAAUUGGGUUGAGAAUAUUUGGGGGUUUCAAAUAAGAAAACCAAGAUAAGGUUUUUCUUCUAGAUCAAUUGGUGAUUUGAAGGUUUUGGAAA